Molecule: ribosomal RNA, 497 nt
Filed under: uncultured bacterium
Lineage: Bacteria
Description: partial 16S ribosomal RNA
Rfam family: Bacterial small subunit ribosomal RNA
Source: RNAcentral
GAUGAACGCUGGCGGCGUGCCUAAUACAUGCAAGUCGAGCGAACAGACGAGGAGCUUGCUCCUCUGACGUUAGCGGCGGACGGGUGAGUAACACGUGGAUAACCUACCUAUAAGACUGGGAUAACUUCGGGAAACCGGAGCUAAUACCGGAUAAUAUAUUGAACCGCAUGGUUCAAUAGUGAAAGACGGUUUUGCUGUCACUUAUAGAUGGAUCCGCGCCGCAUUAGCUAGUUGGUAAGGUAACGGCUUACCAAGGCAACGAUGCGUAGCCGACCUGAGGGGGUGAUCGGCCCCCCUGGAACUGAGACGCGGUCCAGACUCCUACGGGAGGCAGCAGUAGGGAAUCUUCCGCAAUGGGCGAAAGCCUGACGGAGCAACGCCGCGUGAGUGAUGAAGGUCUUCGGAUCGUAAAACUCUGUUAUUAGGGAAGAACAAAUGUGUAAGUAACUAUGCACGUCUUGACGGUACCUAAUCAGAAAGCCACGGCUAACUACGUG